This 461-nucleotide long non-coding RNA is filed under the name Rattus norvegicus (Norway rat). Its description in RNAcentral is "long non-coding RNA NONRATT020780". Lineage: Eukaryota; Metazoa; Chordata; Mammalia; Rodentia; Muridae. The record is from RNAcentral.
UCAUCUGCACAGCGCAGCAGAAAUCUGCUUCCAGCCUGGAGAACAGUCUCGUAUGUCUGGAAGUUGCUCUAGAACUCAAUGAGAACUUGGAUCCUGCAAGUUGACUUGUCUUCUUUACCUAAAUUUGCCAUUUGUUGGGCCACAAUUGUGUCCCAAAUGGCCAAGAUGGUAAGGAAAAGCAGGCUGCGUUGACUCGAGUCUGGCAAUGUGACCAGCAGACUAGUAGAGCCUGGAAGUAGGCCUGCUACUUGGCAGACUCUUGUUGGUAGGGCCCAUCUCUGAGGUGCCAGGAUUUGGAACUGUUGUUCAGGCUGGGCAAAGUCAGUGGAGAGAAGAGCAAAAACUCCAGCUACAGCUGAAAUUUCCUGCUUGGGGUUGUCAUUCUAGGAGGAAGAGUUUGCCAACUCGGGAUGCAGGCUUCACUGUGGAAGAUAUCUGCAUGUUGAGUGAGUCCUGUCCCC